RNAcentral lists this long non-coding RNA (334 nucleotides) under Ananas comosus (pineapple). RNAcentral's name for it is "long non-coding RNA (ACOM_LNC026058)". Lineage: Eukaryota; Viridiplantae; Streptophyta; Magnoliopsida; Poales; Bromeliaceae. The record is from RNAcentral.
GGUCUCCUGAAAGGUUGCUGACCACUGCUCUCAGCUGCUGGCCUUUUUCCUUUACUUCGAUCCACAACAUCUCUUUCCUUCAUAAUCUCCGCCCCCUUUUCCACAAUCAAAGCCCGGUUCACUACUUCCCUGUAAGUGGAAAGGUUUGACGCCUUGACCAAUCUGAAAAUCGCAGGCCGCAAACCUACCUCGAAAAUCCGAGCCUUAUCCUCAUCAUCUCGGACCACAAAAGGAACACAAUGCAGUAAUCGGGAGAACUCUCGCUCAUACUCAGCUACUGUCCUGCCCCCCUGUCUCAGGUUUCUUAAAUCCCUUUCCAUUUGCCUUUUCACAC